CACCGCGGCCCCUCGCGGCCGCCGGGGGCCGGGCAGCGUCGCCAUCUUCCGCUCCGGGGGCCGCGCCCGGGAUGGGAGGCCGCUGCGAGCCGCGAGCCGGAAGCCGGGAGCCGGGAAGGGGCGCCCUGCAAAGGCGAUCGGCCUCUGGCUCCCGGCAGCGGGGCCUGGAGAAGGGGACCCUGGCUUUCCCUGCUUCGGAGCCUGCGGGAUUCCUCCAGGACACCGCCUGGAGCUCGAGUCACCUUCAGGGGCCGCUGUCACCCUCCCAGCCGGAGCCCCGGGGUGGUUUGAGGGGCUUUGGAGAGGGUGCGGGAUGCGCAGGCCUACUCCGCGCCAUCCUUACGCCUCCCCCGACAUCCACGGCGCGCCGCCCUCUCGGCGCCCCACACCGAGCCCUGCAGAGGUGUCUUAGGCUCUUUGUGGUGAGCCCGAGACUAGAAACGAAUUCGAGAUGGACCACCAGAACCGUGUGUUUAUCACGAAAGUCUCUAAAAGCAAUGCUGGGAACCGAACCCCAGACCUUAAGCGUGCUAGCCAUAUCAUCAAUGUCUCUGUUCUAAAUGGAGUAAGCGAAGAGCUGCAGCCCGAAUCCAGGCACCGACACACCAGGGGCAAUCUCUUCAGGGUUUCUCUGUGUAUCUCUGGCUGUCCCGGAACUUGCCAUGUAUAAUUAGGACUUUUAAGAGCACCAGUGUAUCUUCGGAAAUCUUCUAGACUCUUCUUCCGUAUCCCCCAAAGUGGCCAUCCAUCUUCCACUUGAAACUCCAGUUUAAGCACGCCGUCAGGUGGCCCACCUGUCCUCAGAGAAGGCCUCCGUGAUGACCCAAAAUUGUCCCUCUACAAACCCCAGCUCGUGCCCCGCUUCUCACCUCAAGCCCACCGCCUGUACACAUUGCAGCCUUGCAGCUGGCCUCCGUGCCCCUCCGGAGUCGUCUGGAACUUGGCAUGUGCUGUCGAGUAAUAGAUCUGCCCCCACGCGAACCAUGACGUCGAAGGGCAGUCGUAACAGCCCUUGCGGUUCCAAUGAGCCGUGACCUUGAGGAGGUCCGGCUCCAGUCUUAUCAUCAGUGCACGCGGGUGGAGCUGGAGCGGUGGGCGGCGGGAGCAAUAGAGCCGACUUCCCGCUCCUCUCUCAAGCUUUCUCUCUGUGGGCUCCCUGCGUGGGUAGGCAGAGAGUCCAAAUAUUGACUGGCUUCCAAACCCUAUGUGGUGCUCCCCCCGCUGGUGUUGAGAUUGGGAUGCGAUGGAAGUUUGCAGCAUUAGAGAACCGGAGAGACGGACCGGCACUGCGGAGGUGAUAGCGCUCAAAUGCUGGGCCCCUUCUUCCUUCCAUGUGGCUCUGUGGCCACCACCCCGCGAACGUCUAUGCUCUGCCGCACAGCUCCUGUCGUGGUGGUUGCCUUACCGUAGACUCAAAAGCAGCAAAGCCAGCAGGCCUCCCACGCCCUAAGUCCUCCUUGUGGGCUGUUUAUGUCAGAGACUUUGUCCACAGUGGCAGGAGGCUGACCAUACAGCAGGCUGUGUUCCAAGGGGACGCAUUUGAAGCGCCCGUGGAAUCUCUCUCGUCUUUUCUGACCCAACCGCAGAAAUCCGUUGGUGGCUUAUCUGCCAUCAUCACAGGGCCACCUAGAUUCAGGCAGAGGACCAGAGCCCUUUAUCUCCACAUGGAAAGGUCAAAGGUUAUACUCAAGAGGAGUGUGUAGAGCAGGAGCUAUUUGUACAGCCAUUUUUGUUGUUGAUUUGGUUUUGUUUUGGAAAAUGUCAUGUCUCGUAGAGUGUCCUUCCAUUGCCCCAGCCAUUCUCCCUGGACAGCUCAUUACAAGAAAGACAGAUGUCAGACGUAGUGUCUUAACCUCACUCGUUACCAACACAGAGCCUGAAACAGCUUCAUCUUCGAUUGGUGAGCAAUGACUGGGGCAUGAACUGGAAGAUUCCGUUCUGAGAGCUGCUGCUCCCUCCUCCCCCAGGCCCCACCCAGCUGCUCCUAGUACCACUUGUGCUGUGUGACCCCCACCUGCUAAACACAGCAAUUCUUCCCUCACGCUGAGCCUCCCAGACUCUUGCCUCUGGGCAGCUGGGUCUGAGGUUCUGCGGGUGGAGAACGAGGGUGGAGCUUUAACUCACAGAAAUGACUUUAAUUCCAGAAAGGGACCAGCAAAUCUGGAGGAGCUCUUCUGAACCAAGGUUUGCUCAUUUGAUAGGAUGGAGAGAUGAGAAUAGUGGAAAUAUCUACUCUGUAGGGUCCUGGGGUGAGAUCAACUGACGCCUGUGAAGUUCUCUUCACAGGCUGUGAACAGAUGGGCCCUCCUGAAAGUCAUCCCGAGGGCUAUGGAGUGGCUGUGUUUUCAUUCUCACUGGCAGGUCACGAAAACCACUCUGGCAGAGGGAAGUGGAGUGGUUGCCCAGGGACUUCUAGAGAAGAGAGGACUCUCUGGACUUGUGCAAACCAUGCAGCCUUCAAAUCCAGACCCUGUGAUGGUCCAUUUUCAUCCUCAGCUUGACUGGAUUAAGGCAUGCCUAGUGCAACAGGAGGCGCACCUUUUGGUGUGUCUGUGAGGGCAUUUACAAAGAGGAUUAACUGAAUGCAAGCAGUGCCAAGGUCUAGGGGCCCAGGCCAAAUCCAAAAGGCAACUGGAGAAGGCUAGACGGCACCAGCAUUCACCAUUUUCUGCAUCCCGAGUGCUGGUACAGUGUGACCUCACUUGCCAGCUACUGUGCCUUCCAUGCCAUGGUAGACUGUAUCCCUCCAAACCAUGAGCCAAAAUAAGUCAUCGCCCCCCCUCCCCCACCCCCAUGUAUCUUUCCGGUGUUUUGCCACAGUGAUAAGAAAAGUAACUAAUAGAGACCCAACCAAGGAUGACCUAUGUCCCUGACUCCAGAUUCUUUACAGAGAGGGUGGAGUUAACAAGGGAAAGUGUGUUGAAACUGGGGAGACAUGGGAUGCUCCGGGGACAGCAAGAUAGUGUCAAUAAAUCCCACAAACUAGUGCAGACCCUGCCCUUCCACCUUGAGUUCAGCUCUUCUCACUGAGCCCUUUUCAGUGAGGGGAAAGGCAGAGUUGGAUACAUACAUAAUAAGCAUGAUGAGACAGAAAAGAUACCAGGAUCAGGAAGGGAAAGAAUUCACUGAGGGGUCACAGAGUCCAGAUCUACACUGUGUGGCCUUACUUAACUCCUUAUCCCAUCUCUCCCCAACUUCCUGAUCUCUAAAAUGGUGGUGAUUGUGGUACUCAGAGAGCCACACUCACCCAGGGCAGGAUCCGGCAUGUGGUAAGGGUUGAACGUUGACUAGUCUAGUUAUCUUCAGUGUCAUCACCACAGUCAUUAUCACUACCAUCAGCAUCGCCAUCACAUUUAUCAUCAUCACCGCCAUCAUCAUCAUCAUUACCACUAUCACCAUCAUCCAAUAUUUUUUUAAAGAUUUUUUUAUUAUUCCGUAUGUGUGUUUUACUUGCAUGGAUAUAAGCACCCACGUGUGAGCAGCGCUACGGAGGCCAGAAAAGUUACAAAUGUGUGUUCUGGGAAUUAAACCUCAGUCCUCUGCGAGAGCGGUGAGUGUUCCUGACAGCAGAGGUUUCCCUCCAGCCCCGGCAGCGACUGUUAGUGGUUGAUCCAGGAUUCCUUCCUUCAGGAAGCCUAGGUUGCCCACAGGAGAUGUGCCACUACCACACUCCUGAAGUUCCCAAGAUGCUCCGUGUUAUGACUUCAACACCGCCCCGAAAGGGUAAUGUUUCCCACCGCCCCUGAAGCCCCUCAGAACAGCUGAGUAUCUGCACAUGAACCUCCUGUCCAGCUACAACGAGCUCUUUAAGCUUCUCUGAUUGUAAGGGACAAGGUAUGUGUCCCCACCCUCACCCGACCCCAAAGAGUCCUCAAAGAUAGCCGGAAGCAAAAAUUCAAGGAGUUGCCUGUCUGAGAAGGCCACGGAGUCUGACUGGGUGGAUUUGAGAACCUGUAACUCUUUAAUUUGAUGUGUUCUUGUUUUGAGUUUCUUAUCCCUGCUUUGUUAAUGGAAAUAAUCAGCACAAAAGCAAGGAAGGUUCUAGGGAAGUGGUUCUCAACCUGUGGGUCUCCAGCCUUUUAGGGGCGGAAUGACCCUUUCCCAGGGGUCGCCUGAGACCGCCAGAACACAGAUGUUUACAUUAUGAUUCAUAACAGUAGCAAAGUUACAGUUACGAAGUAGCAACAAAAAUAAUUCUAUGGUUUUGGGGAACCACCACAACUCGAAGAAUUGCACUAAAGGGUCUCGAGUGGUUAGGAAGGCUGAGAAGCGCCAGCUGAGAAGCACCGUGCUAGGGGCUGUAGAAAGGAGCUUAUUCUGGAGUCAGUCUGAGGAGGGAAAGAAGCAUGGGUCAAAGUGCUAACUGGAGAUCAUGAGCUGCUGUGGAGGGGAGAGGUAGCCUUCCCUGGAAAGAAGCUCGAGAUUGGGGCUAGGCUACGGAAUGGAUAGUGACUGCUCCCCACACAUUCUUCAAACCCGCUUCUGCAUUUCCUAAAGGCGCCAUGACCAGACCCCGCUGUGCACAUGAGCUGCUCCUCCGGACGGCCUUGGCGUGCAAGCUCUUGCACAUAUACACAUUUGCUACAGAGUCCUAGCUGGCUCGGCUUUUCGUUAGAAACGGGGAAGCUGUGGUUUCUGUAGGCAACUGACAGCAGGCGCCGGGAACUCCCGCAUCACCUGAUCUCUGUGAGACUAAGUUCAAAAGCUAUUCCCGUCUGCAGUAGGCUGUCAGGAUGACCUAAAAAAUGUUAAUGGCGUAAGUCAUCAGAGAAUCAAAAGGUAAUCCCAGGGCAAACAAAUACUUCCUAAGAGGCUUUCUAUAAAUCUAGCUUAAGCAACUGUAUCUGGCAGUCUACUCCUGAGUUCUCCAGCCACUUGCAAAGCUCAGUGCCUCCUUCCCACGAAUAUCCGCAGGGCGUGGCUCCGCUCACCGCUUGCAUUCCGAGUCCCAGGCCCACAGAUCAGCCUUCAGCUGAGACUGAGCUGGAUGUGGGGCAGAAGGAAAGGAAGAGGUCACCCACCCACUCUUUGCCGUGCUGAUAAUGGACAACAAAGACUUCAGCAUCUUCUUUUCCUCUUUAAAAUGUUUCUCAGUGAAUAUUUCCCUCUGAACUUUAUUCAGCAAAGGUUGCCACUGCCAGCAACAUAAGUCUAAUUUACGUCGUGGGGAUUAUCGAGACCUGACUUCCUGAUACUGUUGUCUUCCCCCCUGGGGCUGACAUCCACAUCAGGGCAAGACUCCUGUCAGCCACUGAGUGCAGGUCUUCUCUGAGCUCUCUCCGUCUGUUCCUGAACGCUGAAAACUUUAUUUACUCACUGGUUUCUACGGCAGGGUAUGAAAAUCUCUUUACUAGGCAUACCAUGUUUUUUUUUUUAAAUACAUUUUUUCAUACACUAUAUUCUGAUUAUGGUGACCCAUCCUCCAUCUCCUCCAAGCCUCUCCCCAUCUCCCUAUCUACCCAUCCAUACCUUGUUUCUCUCUUUUUUUAAAAAAACAAAGGGCAAAAACAAAAUCAGAAUUAUAAAGGAAAGCAAAAGAAACAGCACACACACACACACACACACACACAAACCAUAAAAACUCAAAAUCAGAAACCAUAACAUAUAGGCAAAAGACCAAUGAGAUAAAAUGUGUCGAAUCAAAUGAAUAUGAAACAACAAAAAAAGUCUAUGUAAAUACCAUUUCAUUCAUUUCGUGAUGGCCUCAAUGGCUGCAGUGGGGCCUGCCCUUACCUGUGGUGGGUAUAGGUGGUGAGACUCCAUUGGAGAAAACUAACUUUUCUUUUGCCAACAGUUGUCAAUUGAAGGCAGUUUCUCGGUUAUGGAUGUGAGCUUGUGUAUGGCUUGGACCUAGGCAGACGCUGUGCACACCACACGGUGUCUGUGAGUUCAUCCACAUGUCAGUCCUCUUUCCUCAGUGUCCUCCAUCCCCUCUUACAAACUCUCCACCUCUCUUGGACGUAGUUCCCUGAGCCAUCGUGGAGGGAGUUUGACGAAGACAUCCCAUUUAGAAGUGAGUGUCCCAAGGUUUCUUCGUCUCUGCACAUUGUCCAUUUGUAGGACAAUGUACUGACUGGUUGUUGUAGGAAGCUCCUCUGACAAUGGCUGAGCAAGACACUGAUCAAUGAGUACAGUACAGUGUCAUUAGAAGUCCUUUUAUUGCUGUGCUCCUUUAGCAGAACCAUGGUGUCUGGUUUUCCUCUCGGCCCACGGCUUAUCUAAUUUCAGCUUCUUGGCACCUGAGCAGUGACAGGCAUGGGUUUCAUCUUGGGGAGUGGGGCUUAAAUCCAUGCAGAGAGGGGUUGGUUAGUCCUACAAUGUCUAUGCCACUAUUAUACCAGCAUCUCAGACAGGCAGGUCACCAUUGUAGACUGCAGGUUUUGUAGUCGGGUUGGUGGUCACUUUCCUCCUCUGCUAGUGUGCAGAGCGCUUUCCAGAACCAGGAACACUUGUCAGUGGGGGUGAAGGUUCUAAUUAGGCACCAGCUCAACUUCUCCAAUGUUCAAUGAGCUGUGUAGGUGUUGUCUUCAGCAAUAGAGCCUUGCCAUCAAGCUGUGGAGAGCAGCCAGAAGCCUUGGCAAUAGCUUGUUUGCUUGGAGAUUUUCCGUGGGGCCCAUGGAAACUCAAAUAGCUGCAACCCACUCCUGGAACUGGAAGUUUCACCUUGUGGUAAACAUAUCUAGUUGGGGCAUUGUCUCCCACAUUAUUUGGUGACUCCAUUUAGAUUUCUUUCACAUAUGUGUAUGUUUGAAGAAGCUUCUCCUGUGGUAGGUUUCCAUAUGAUCCCUCUAAUGGUCCAUAUUCCCUCCCUUAGCUCUCUCUUCCCCCUCCAUUUGAGCCUCCCAUUCCAUCCUCCCCCCAUCUCUCCAUAACCCUAUGUCCUAUUUUCCAUUCCUAGUUUUCCCCCUUCCUAGUCCCUUACUCUAACCUAACAUCCAUGGCUGUAUGGAUUAUAGCAUGCCUAUCAAUGGGUUAGAAGCUAGCAUCCACAUAUAAGAGAGUACAUAUUGUCUUUUGGGGCCUAUGUUAUCUCUCUCAUAAUAUUUUUUUCCUAGCUUCAUCCAUUUACCUGUGAAUUUCAUGAUUUCAUUUUUUAAACAGCUGAAUUCCAUUGUGUUAAUGUACAUAUUUUCAUUAUCCACUCAUGUGUUGGUAGACAUCUAGGCUGUGUCCAGUUUCUGGCUAUGAACAUGGUUGAUCAAGUGUCUCUGUAGUGGGAUAUAGGGUGCUUUGGGUAUAUGAGAGUGGCAUAGCUAGAUCUUGAGGUACAUCUGUUGUGUGACCAAAUUUUUCCUGGGAAGAAAAAACACAUUCAUCUACUUACUCUAGUUAGAGAACCCGUGACAGGCCAUAGUAUAGAUGCCACCAAAGUCCAGCUUGGUGAAGUGAUGAGUUUUAUUUUGAUUACUUACAGGAGUAUAGGUGAAGAGUUACUUACAGGAGAAGUGACCCAGAGACAACUACAUCGCCAUGGCCCACCCCAGCAUGGGUGGCAGGAAGGGGGCUAGUAAACAUAGUUUCAGGGACUUCCUGAGCUUUUUCAAUUUCUUUACCUUCCUGCUUAAGGAGCUCCCCUACAGGAUGAGAUGCUUUGAUCUCAGAGGAAACUGUUAUACAAAAGAUAUAUUCCCAGCAUUCUGAGGCUGCAGACUAUCUAAUUUUCAAUGGAUAAUGUAAACCACAAGAUCUAGCCAAGUGUGACAAGGGAAGAACAAUUCUUACCUAGAAAAUAACUUACCGUAACCAAAUUUGUAUUUUACAAUAGUUGACAAUAAAGUACAUC
Molecule: long non-coding RNA, 7783 nt
Organism: Meriones unguiculatus (Mongolian gerbil)
Lineage: Eukaryota; Metazoa; Chordata; Mammalia; Rodentia; Muridae
Exons: 3
Source: RefSeq, a predicted model, not a curated record